CCUUUAAAAAAAAUAGAUAUAUGUAAAAAAUAAUAAGCCUCACAGAGGAGAUCCUGCUGCCGGGGUGGUGGGGCUGGCUGGUGCCAGGAAAUGCUCAGGGUGGGGACUUGGACAGGACCCAGGCACCAGUAGCACAGUGGACCUGGACCUGGACCUGUCUUCACACAGCCCCAUCCCCUGGGAUGGUUUUCACCCAAAACUGGGGAUUACAAAGGAGCCGGGUUCUCAUGGAUUCCCCCCUGGAUAAGGGAAAUCCCAUCUGGAAACCAGGAGAAGAGGCCACAAAGAGCACAGUGGCAAAGCUGGGCACAGCGGCCUGACCUGCCAUGCUCACAGUGACAACUCCAUCCAUCACUCACGGCUGCCACUGUGACCCCUGCACCUCCCUCGGCACUUACACGGCGCUGGGCCCCCCUCCCAGGGGAGGAACAGGAGGGGGAAAGUCUCCCCAGCUUCACACUCGUUCCCUCUCCCCGUGCUGUGACCCCAGGCCGGCGUGGCGAGGGUCGGCACCGCCGCGGCUGCGGCCCUGGCUGGAGGCACUGGCCCUCGCUCCAAACAUGUGAAUGCUCCCAUGGCUCGGAAUGCAGUUUCUCCCUGAAAAGCCGCCUGCGCUCUGCGGCCGGGCGGCUCUUGUCAGGCUGCCAGAGGAGGCCGGAGCAGCGUCACAUGCAGCAAAGUUUUACAAGGCGAGCGAGCGUCUGGGGAGAGGGACGGGAGAGGGACCGAGCGCCGCACGCACACACCCGGACGCACACGCGGAGAAAUCUCCUCCAGCCUCCCUCCAGCUCUCAUCCCAACGCUGAUUUUUUUUUCCUUUCCUCCUUUUUUUUCUUUUCUUUUUGGAAGAACAAAGACUUUGGGGUGGGUUGGC
Molecule: long non-coding RNA, 874 nt
Organism: Parus major (Great Tit)
Lineage: Eukaryota; Metazoa; Chordata; Aves; Passeriformes; Paridae
Exons: 2
Source: RefSeq, a predicted model, not a curated record